UUACUUUUGGCUCUAUAAUAUCA
Molecule: small nuclear RNA, 23 nt
Filed under: Arabidopsis thaliana (thale cress)
Lineage: Eukaryota; Viridiplantae; Streptophyta; Magnoliopsida; Brassicales; Brassicaceae
Description: snRNA_14963
Source: RNAcentral